This 2924-nucleotide ribosomal RNA is filed under the name Escherichia coli. RNAcentral's name for it is "partial 23S ribosomal RNA". It matches the Rfam family "Bacterial large subunit ribosomal RNA". Lineage: Bacteria; Pseudomonadati; Pseudomonadota; Gammaproteobacteria; Enterobacterales; Enterobacteriaceae. The record is from RNAcentral.
GGGUUGUGAGGUUAAGCGACUAAGCGUACACGGUGGAUGCCCUGGCAGUCAGAGGCGAUGAAGGACGUGCUAAUCUGCGAUAAGCGUCGGUAAGGUGAUAUGAACCGUUAUAACCGGCGAUUUCCGAAUGGGGAAACCCAGUGUGUUUCGACACACUAUCAUUAACUGAAUCCAUAGGUUAAUGAGGCGAACCGGGGGAACUGAAACAUCUAAGUACCCCGAGGAAAAGAAAUCAACCGAGAUUCCCCCAGUAGCGGCGAGCGAACGGGGAGCAGCCCAGAGCCUGAAUCAGUGUGUGUGUUAGUGGAAGCGUCUGGAAAGGCGCGCGAUACAGGGUGACAGCCCCGUACACAAAAAUGCACAUGCUGUGAGCUCGAUGAGUAGGGCGGGACACGUGGUAUCCUGUCUGAAUAUGGGGGGACCAUCCUCCAAGGCUAAAUACUCCUGACUGACCGAUAGUGAACCAGUACCGUGAGGGAAAGGCGAAAAGAACCCCGGCGAGGGGAGUGAAAAAGAACCUGAAACCGUGUACGUACAAGCAGUGGGAGCCUCUUUAUGGGGUGACUGCGUACCUUUUGUAUAAUGGGUCAGCGACUUAUAUUCUGUAGCAAGGUUAACCGAAUAGGGGAGCCGAAGGGAAACCGAGUCUUAACUGGGCGUUAAGUUGCAGGGUAUAGACCCGAAACCCGGUGAUCUAGCCAUGGGCAGGUUGAAGGUUGGGUAACACUAACUGGAGGACCGAACCGACUAAUGUUGAAAAAUUAGCGGAUGACUUGUGGCUGGGGGUGAAAGGCCAAUCAAACCGGGAGAUAGCUGGUUCUCCCCGAAAGCUAUUUAGGUAGCGCCUCGUGAAUUCAUCUCCGGGGGUAGAGCACUGUUUCGGCAAGGGGGUCAUCCCGACUUACCAACCCGAUGCAAACUGCGAAUACCGGAGAAUGUUAUCACGGGAGACACACGGCGGGUGCUAACGUCCGUCGUGAAGAGGGAAACAACCCAGACCGCCAGCUAAGGUCCCAAAGUCAUGGUUAAGUGGGAAACGAUGUGGGAAGGCCCAGACAGCCAGGAUGUUGGCUUAGAAGCAGCCAUCAUUUAAAGAAAGCGUAAUAGCUCACUGGUCGAGUCGGCCUGCGCGGAAGAUGUAACGGGGCUAAACCAUGCACCGAAGCUGCGGCAGCGACGCUUAUGCGUUGUUGGGUAGGGGAGCGUUCUGUAAGCCUGUGAAGGUGUGCUGUGAGGCAUGCUGGAGGUAUCAGAAGUGCGAAUGCUGACAUAAGUAACGAUAAAGCGGGUGAAAAGCCCGCUCGCCGGAAGACCAAGGGUUCCUGUCCAACGUUAAUCGGGGCAGGGUGAGUCGACCCCUAAGGCGAGGCCGAAAGGCGUAGUCGAUGGGAAACAGGUUAAUAUUCCUGUACUUGGUGUUACUGCGAAGGGGGGACGGAGAAGGCUAUGUUGGCCGGGCGACGGUUGUCCCGGUUUAAGCGUGUAGGCUGGUUUUCCAGGCAAAUCCGGAAAAUCAAGGCUGAGGCGUGAUGACGAGGCACUACGGUGCUGAAGCAACAAAUGCCCUGCUUCCAGGAAAAGCCUCUAAGCAUCAGGUAACAUCAAAUCGUACCCCAAACCGACACAGGUGGUCAGGUAGAGAAUACCAAGGCGCUUGAGAGAACUCGGGUGAAGGAACUAGGCAAAAUGGUGCCGUAACUUCGGGAGAAGGCACGCUGAUAUGUAGGUGAAGUCCCUUGCGGAUGGAGCUGAAAUCAGUCGAAGAUACCAGCUGGCUGCAACUGUUUAUUAAAAACACAGCACUGUGCAAACACGAAAGUGGACGUAUACGGUGUGACGCCUGCCCGGUGCCGGAAGGUUAAUUGAUGGGGUCAGCGCAAGCGAAGCUCUUGAUCGAAGCCCCGGUAAACGGCGGCCGUAACUAUAACGGUCCUAAGGUAGCGAAAUUCCUUGUCGGGUAAGUUCCGACCUGCACGAAUGGCGUAAUGAUGGCCAGGCUGUCUCCACCCGAGACUCAGUGAAAUUGAACUCGCUGUGAAGAUGCAGUGUACCCGCGGCAAGACGGAAAGACCCCGUGAACCUUUACUAUAGCUUGACACUGAACAUUGAGCCUUGAUGUGUAGGAUAGGUGGGAGGCUUAGAAGUGUGGACGCCAGUCUGCAUGGAGCCGACCUUGAAAUACCACCCUUUAAUGUUUGAUGUUCUAACGUUGACCCGUAAUCCGGGUUGCGGACAGUGUCUGGUGGGUAGUUUGACUGGGGCGGUCUCCUCCUAAAGAGUAACGGAGGAGCACGAAGGUUGGCUAAUCCUGGUCGGACAUCAGGAGGUUAGUGCAAUGGCAUAAGCCAGCUUGACUGCGAGCGUGACGGCGCGAGCAGGUGCGAAAGCAGGUCAUAGUGAUCCGGUGGUUCUGAAUGGAAGGGCCAUCGCUCAACGGAUAAAAGGUACUCCGGGGAUAACAGGCUGAUACCGCCCAAGAGUUCAUAUCGACGGCGGUGUUUGGCACCUCGAUGUCGGCUCAUCACAUCCUGGGGCUGAAGUAGGUCCCAAGGGUAUGGCUGUUCGCCAUUUAAAGUGGUACGCGAGCUGGGUUUAGAACGUCGUGAGACAGUUCGGUCCCUAUCUGCCGUGGGCGCUGGAGAACUGAGGGGGGCUGCUCCUAGUACGAGAGGACCGGAGUGGACGCAUCACUGGUGUUCGGGUUGUCAUGCCAAUGGCACUGCCCGGUAGCUAAAUGCGGAAGAGAUAAGUGCUGAAAGCAUCUAAGCACGAAACUUGCCCCGAGAUGAGUUCUCCCUGACCCUUUAAGGGUCCUGAAGGAACGUUGAAGACGACGACGUUGAUAGGCCGGGUGUGUAAGCGCAGCGAUGCGUUGAGCUAACCGGUACUAAUGAACCGUGAGGCUUAACCUUACAACGCCGAAG